CACGUAGGGCGCAAGCGUUGUCCGGAAUUAUUGGGCGUAAAGAGCUCGUAGGCGGUUUGUCGCGUCUGCUGUGAAAACCCGAGGCUCAACCUCGGGCCUGCAGUGGGUACGGGCAGACUAGAGUGCGGGUAGGGGAGAUUGGAAUUCCUGGUGUAGCGGUGGAAUGCGCAGAUAGUCAAGGAGGAACACCAAUGGCGAAGGCAGAUCUCUGGGCCGUAACUGACGCUGAGGAGCGAAAGCAUGGGGAGCGAACAGG
Molecule: ribosomal RNA, 256 nt
Filed under: uncultured bacterium
Lineage: Bacteria
Description: partial 16S ribosomal RNA
Rfam family: Bacterial small subunit ribosomal RNA
Source: RNAcentral